Long non-coding RNA from Solanum stenotomum, 290 nucleotides. RefSeq lists it as uncharacterized. The transcript is spliced from 2 exons. Lineage: Eukaryota; Viridiplantae; Streptophyta; Magnoliopsida; Solanales; Solanaceae. The record is from RefSeq and is a predicted model, not a curated record.
UUCUCACAGAUCUCACUCCAAAUAUUCCUCAAUUUGUGAAAUGCUUGAAAGGCAAUAAUGUGAAAAAGUCCUGCUUCCUGGGACGGAGCCACCAUUCGAGAUACGGAUUUUGCAACCAUUACACUUUUGGGUUCAGAUGAAACCGUAGACUAUAUGGUACAUCCACCACCGACUAUAAGACAAUUUAAAUACAUUUAUUGGUAUUUGCACCAGAUAACUCUAGGUGAAUCUGUUCUCUGGAAAAGUUUUCUAGACAUUUUGUGCAUCCUCUUCAAAUAUAAUCAACAUUA